This 425-nucleotide ribosomal RNA is filed under the name uncultured bacterium. Its description in RNAcentral is "bacterial SSU rRNA". It matches the Rfam family "Bacterial small subunit ribosomal RNA", at positions 354 to 796 of the family's 1533-position model. The record is from RNAcentral.
GUGGGGAAUCUUAGACAAUGGGCGCAAGCCUGAUCUAGCCAUGCCGCGUGUGUGAUGAAGGCCUUAGGGUCGUAAAGCACUUUCGCCAGGGAUGAUAAUGACAGUACCUGGUAAAGAAACCCCGGCUAACUCCGUGCCAGCAGCCGCGGUAAUACGGAGGGGGUUAGCGUUGUUCGGAAUUACUGGGCGUAAAGCGUACGUAGGCGGAUCAGAAAGUAAGGGGUGAAAUCCCAGGGCUCAACCCUGGAACUGCCUCUUAAACUCCUGGUCUUGAGUUCGAGAGAGGUGAGUGGAAUUCCGAGUGUAGAGGUGAAAUUCGUAGAUAUUCGGAGGAACACCAGUGGCGAAGGCGGCUCACUGGCUCGAUACUGACGCUGAGGUACGAAAGUGUGGGGAGCAAACAGGAUUAGAUACCCUAGUAGUCC